RNAcentral lists this long non-coding RNA (778 nucleotides) under Citrus x clementina. Its description in RNAcentral is "Citrus clementina (C. clementina) long non-coding RNA (CCLE_LNC004274)". The record is from RNAcentral. Lineage: Eukaryota; Viridiplantae; Streptophyta; Magnoliopsida; Sapindales; Rutaceae.
GAAGGAAGUUUGCCUCUCGCGAUGAACGUUAGAGAAUCGCAGUUGCCGAUGUACAAACUUUCGAGUUCUGCGUUGUUGCCCAUCAUUUCCUCAGGUAAGGAUUUUAUUGCUUUGCUUUUUUCAAUCUUAAGAGACCGCAAAAUAUUGGGAUGAAAUUUUAACUCUGGAAAUGAGACAAGACUGGUGCAAUUUUCUUCAAUAGAUACCUCUUCAGGGUGGGUUAAGACAUGUAACCCUUCUACUGGCUUCUUAUAUCUGAAAUGCAGAAGCAUCCACCAUGAAUUGAUUUCUAUGAAAUCACUAGUCACCAGAGAUUUUACUACCUCAAAUCCUCCCUUUAACUGUUUUCCAAACUCGAAAAUAUUUGAAAUUGUUACAGAGUCAGCUGGACCAUCACUGUAAACCCCUCUGCAUCCAUAUAUUUCUAAUGAAUUACUGGAAAUAGUCAUACACUGAUACGGGCUUGCCAAUUGAAUUGGAUGCAAAGGACAAUUUGCCAAGAGAGGAUGAAGAAGCCAAAACCGUUACUAAGGAACCUAAUAAUGAAUUCGCAGAAGCAAAACAGCAGCUCAACUGUAGACCCGAGAGAGCCAAGAAACAGCCCAGCUGGAUGAAGGACUAUGCCACGUGAACCAAGACAGCAAGGGUGGAUGGAUAAUUUCUCUUAACAAUUAUCUAAAUUCUGUUAUUAUAAUUUAGCUACUUUACAAUUGCCAGCUCAUAUUUGUCUUUUAGCCUUAGAAUACUCUAGAAGAGUCACGAGAUAUAUAUGUAAAAG